UUUAGUGGCGAACGGGUGAGUAACACGUAAGCAACCUGCCUUUAAGACGAGAAUAACAAUUGGAAACAGUUGCUAAGGCUGGAUAGGAAAUAAAAAGGCAUCUUUUUAUUUUUAAAAGACCUUCUUCGGAGGGUAUGCUUAAAGAGGGGCUUGCGUCACAUUAGUUAGUUGGUAGGGUAAUGGCCUACCAAGACGAUGAUGUGUAGCUGGACUGAGAGGUUGAACAGCCACAUUGGGACUGAGACACGGCCCAAACUCCUACGGGAGGCAGCAGUAGGGAAUUUUCGGCAAUGGAGGAAACUCUGACCGAGCAACGCCGCGUGAACGACGAAGUACUUCGGUAUGUAAAGUUCUUUUAUUGAAGAAGAAACAAUAGUGGAAAAACUAUCUUGACGUUAUUCAAUGAAUAAGCCCCGGCUAACUAUGUGCCAGCAGCCGCGGUAAUACAUAGGGGGCGAGCGUUAUCCGGAAUUAUUGGGCGUAAAGGGUGCGUAGGCGGUUUAAUAAGUCUCUAGUUUAAUUUCAACGCUUAACGUUGUCCUGCUAGAGAAACUGUUUGACUAGAGUGAGAUAGAGGUAAGCGGAAUUCCAUGUGUAGCGGUAAAAUGUGUAAAUAUAUGGAGGAACACCAGAGGCGUAGGCGGCUUACUGGGUCUUUACUGACGCUGAUGCACGAAAGCGUGGGGAGCAAACAGGAUUAGAUACCCUGGUAGUCCACGCCGUAAACUAUGAGUACUAAGUGUCGGGGUUAAACUCGGUACUGAAGUUAACACAUUAAGUACUCCGCCUGAGUAGUACGUACGCAAGUAUGAAACUUAAAGGAAUUGACGGGAUCCCGCACAAGCGGUGGAUCAUGUUGUUUAAUUCGAAGAUACACGAAAAACCUUACCAGGUCUUGACAUACUCUGCAAAACUAUAGAAAUAUAGUGGAGGUUAUCAGGGAUACAGGUGGUGCAUGGUUGUCGUCAGCUCGUGUCGUGAGAUGUUAGGUUAAGUUCUAAAACGAGCGCAACCCCUGUCGUUAAUUGCCAGCACGUUAUGGUGGGGACUUUAGCGAGACUGCCAAUGAAAAAUUGGAGGAAGGUGGGGAUUACGUCAAAUCAUCAUGCCCCUUAUGAUCUGGGCUACAAACGUGAUACAAUGGCUAUUACAAAGAGUAGCUUAAACGCGAGUUUUUGGCAAAUCUCAAAAAAAUAGUCUUAGUUCGGAUUGAAGUCUGCAACUCGACUUCAUGAAGUUGGAAUCGCUAGUAAUCGCGAAUCAGCAUGUCGCGGUGAAUACGUUCUCGGGGUUUGUACACACCGCCCGUCAAACCACGAAAGUGGACAAUACCCGAAAGCGACAGCCUAAC
Molecule: ribosomal RNA, 1351 nt
Filed under: Texas Phoenix palm phytoplasma
Lineage: Bacteria; Bacillati; Mycoplasmatota; Mollicutes; Acholeplasmatales; Acholeplasmataceae
Description: 16S ribosomal RNA
Rfam family: Bacterial small subunit ribosomal RNA
Source: RNAcentral